GGCGGCGUGCUUAACACAUGCAAGUCGAACGGGAUCCAUCAAGCUUGCUUGGUGGUGAGAGUGGCGAACGGGUGAGUAAUGCGUGACCAACCUGCCCUGUACUCUGGAAUAGCUCCUGGAAACGGGUGGUAAUGCCGGAUGCUCCACAUGGGUGCAUGCCUGUGUGGGAAAGGGUUUACCGGUAUGGGAUGGGGUCGCGUCCUAUCAGCUUGACGGCGGGGUAAUGGCCCACCGUGGCUUUGACGGGUAGCCGGCCUGAGAGGGCGACCGGCCACAUUGGGACUGAGAUACGGCCCAGACUCCUACGGGAGGCAGCAGUGGGGAAUAUUGCACAAUGGGGGGAACCCUGAUGCAGCGACGCCGCGUGCGGGAUGACGGCCUUCGGGUUGUAAACCGCUUUUGAUUGGGGGCAAGCGUUAAGUGAGUGUACCUUUCGAAUAAGCGCCGGCUAACUACGUGCCAGCAGCCGCGGUAAUACGUAGGGCGCAAGCGUUGUCCGGAAUUAUUGGGCGUAAAGGGCUCGUAGGCGGCUCGUCGCGUCUGGUGUGAAAGUCCAUCGCUUAACGGUGGAUCUGCGCCGGGUACGGGCGGGCUGGAGUGCGGUAGGGGAGACUGGAAUUCCCGGUGUAACGGUGGAAUGUGUAGAUAUCGGGAGGAACACCAAUGGCGAAGGCAGGUCUCUGGGCCGUUACUGACGCUGAGGAGCGAAAGCGUGGGGAGCGAACAGGAUUAGAUACCCUGGUAGUCCACGCCGUAAACGGUGGACGCUGGAUGUGGGGCCCAUUCCACGGGUUCCGUGUCGGAGCUAACGCGUUAAGCGUCCCGCCUGGGGAGUACGGCCGCAAGGCUAAACUCAAAGAAAUUGACGGGGGCCCGCACAAGCGGCGGAGCAUGCGGAUUAAUUCGAUGCAACGCGAAGAACCUUACCUGGGCUUGACAUGUUCCCGGCGACAUCAGAGAUGGUGUUUCCCUUCGGGGCGGGUUCACAGGUGGUGCAUGGUCGUCGUCAGCUCGUGUCGUGAGAUGUUGGGUUAAGUCCCGCAACGAGCGCAACCCUCGCCCCGUGUUGCCAGCACGUCAUGGUGGGAACUCACGGGGGACCGCCGGGGUUAACUCGGAGGAAGGUGGGGAUG
Molecule: ribosomal RNA, 1133 nt
Filed under: uncultured bacterium
Lineage: Bacteria
Description: bacterial SSU rRNA
Rfam family: Bacterial small subunit ribosomal RNA
Source: RNAcentral